Molecule: transfer RNA, 24 nt
Filed under: Delphinus capensis (long-beaked common dolphin)
Lineage: Eukaryota; Metazoa; Chordata; Mammalia; Artiodactyla; Delphinidae
Description: partial tRNA-Thr
Source: RNAcentral
AGAACCCCAUUCCUCCCUAAGACU